This 245-nucleotide ribosomal RNA is filed under the name uncultured bacterium. RNAcentral's name for it is "partial small subunit ribosomal RNA". It matches the Rfam family "Bacterial small subunit ribosomal RNA", at positions 26 to 285 of the family's 1533-position model. The record is from RNAcentral.
AGAAUCAACGCUGGCGGCGUGCCUAACACAUGCAAGUCGAACGAGAAAGGGACUUCGGUCCUGAGUAUAGUGGCGCACGGGUGAGUAACACGUGAAUAAUCUACCUCCGAGUGGGGAAUAACCAAGAGAAAUCUUGGCUAAUACCGCAUAACACUUACGAGUCAAAGCAGCAAUGCGCUUGGAGAGGAGUUCGCGGCCGAUUAGUUAGUUGGCGGGGUAAUGGCCCACCAAGACGAUGAUCGGUA